Alnus glutinosa is the source of this 719-nucleotide long non-coding RNA. RefSeq lists it as uncharacterized. Lineage: Eukaryota; Viridiplantae; Streptophyta; Magnoliopsida; Fagales; Betulaceae. The transcript has 2 exons. The record is from RefSeq and is a predicted model, not a curated record.
ACCCAUGCAUAAUAGAGGACUUAAGACCCUAUAAAUUGUGCAUUAAUGUUAAUUAGUAUUCAACUUUCAUCCAAGUUAUCCAACCAAAAAUCUGAAGAGGGUAUAAGUGAAAAUAUGGGUGGAACUUGUGUGAGAAGAAGUGUGUUGCUGAUGAUGACUAUGAAUAUUGUAGUACUUGUAGUGCAGGCUGAUGAUCCUCCUGCUCCCUCUCUCCUUCCGUUCUCUUCCGUUUUAACUGUGCCUCACUUUCCCUCUCCCUACUCCCAACAAGAUCAUACCCAUGAUUGGAUCGAUUGUUUUUUUAAGUGGCUCGGGCAUUGCAUUGUAAUCACAAGUCCCCCCAAGGUGUUAAGAAAAAUAACAUUGGGGUGGGGUAUGUACAGAGGUUGUGUGCAUCUCAUAAAAAAACUCUGCAAAGUUCCCUUAGGUCUAGAUCAUAUUGCCUAUCGUUGUGCUGUUAAUCGUCUCAGAUUCCCAAGCAAAGCUGUUGGUUUUGAAACAGGGAAAACAAAAGAUUACGUGGAAACGAGCUUCAACAAUUGCAACAAGAAUUACUAGCUACCUUUUUCUCAAAGUUAUUUACUUUUAUGUAGUGAAAAAAUCAAUGCUUAUAUGGAAAAAUUAAAGGGCUAUUAGCCUAUGUCACGUGAGUAUAAUGUGAUUAUGAUGUGAAAAAUAACAUUUCUGCUUUGUUAAUGAAAGACCUUCAAUUUUUAUCA